This is a non-coding RNA of Mus musculus (house mouse), 294 nucleotides long. NCBI's taxonomy places the organism in Eukaryota, Metazoa, Chordata, Mammalia, Rodentia, Muridae. The record is from the annotation of a RefSeq genome assembly.
CAGGUCCAGCUUCCUCAGUCUGGUUCUGAGGUGGGGCGGACUGGUGCCUCAGUGAAGAUGUUCUGCAAGGCUCCUGGCUACACAUUCACUAACUACUAUAUGUAUUGAUUAAAGCAGAGUCAUGGAGAUAGCCUAGAGUGGAUUUGAUAUAUUUAUCCUGGAAAUGGUCUUACUAGCUAUGCCAAGAAGUUCAAAGGCAAGGCCACAUUGACUAUAGACAAUUCAGCCAGCACAGCCUACAUGCAGCUCAGCAGCAUGACAUCUGAAGCCUCUGAUGACUAUUGUUGUGCUAGA